AAACCUCUCAGCGGUCGCGAGAUCCUGCUGCGGCCCGGGCGUCAUUUCGCCAGCGGCUGUGACAGCGUGGACAGAGCGGGCUUAGGAAUGCCUGUGAGUAAGUAAUGUACAAAGAAGAGAAAGUUAUGUUUUACAGUUCUGGAGUCUGGGAAAUCUAACAUGCUGGGUCCAUAUUUGUGGAACCUUCUGAACCUCACCUGACCCUAAUUGCCUCCGAAAGACCCCACCUUCAGAUACCAUUGGCAUAUGAACUUGAGAAUGAAGUUUCCAACACGUAAACUUUUGUGGGACGCCUUCCAACUAUAUCAGGGCUGACCUCAAACUUGUGAUUCUCUUGCCUUGGUCUG
Octodon degus (degu) is the source of this 347-nucleotide long non-coding RNA. RefSeq lists it as uncharacterized. The record is from RefSeq and is a predicted model, not a curated record. The transcript has 4 exons. Lineage: Eukaryota; Metazoa; Chordata; Mammalia; Rodentia; Octodontidae.